This 463-nucleotide long non-coding RNA is filed under the name Homo sapiens (human). RNAcentral describes it as "HSALNT0007153". Lineage: Eukaryota; Metazoa; Chordata; Mammalia; Primates; Hominidae. The record is from RNAcentral.
CUUUCUCCAGUUGUUCUGUCCUUACUGGGGAGGAGCCCAGGGACAUAUUUCACAGCUAAGUCAACUGCUUUUCUUCAAAUUCAGAUUUAAUCCUUGAGUGAAAUGAGUCACUGGCUCAUCCAGUUAAGAUCAUCACCCACUUUCCUAACAAAACUUCUCUUCAAAGAAGGACUCGCUCAUCCAUCAGGUGGACCUCCACAGGAACAAAUCAUAUCCAUGUCAGGCGGCACCAAACCUAAAUCUGCUUCUGCCUCAGCAGACAGGACAUGCACCUACAUGUCUAUGUUCAGAAGCUGCCUUGAUGCCACAUGCGGGAGGCUGGAAACGCUGAAGGAUGACCACUGCUCAGCAGCAGUCUACCAGUGAUGGAUGAGAGUUGGUGCACAAAUACCCCAGCUCCCUUGCCUCUCAGUUUGGAUAAUCCUGAAAAGACCCAGCAAGAAAUGAUUCCAAGAUCACCUAG